AGAACUUAGAGCUAAUACGCAAAGUCGGGGAUCAUAAAAACAACCGAAACAACUUAGCGCUAAUACAGAAAGUCGGGGAUCAUAAAAACGGACCGAAAGAACUUAGAGCUAAUACGCAAAGUCGUGGAUCAUAAAAACGACCGAAAGAACUUGGAGCUCAUAUGUCAAGUCGGGGAUCAUAAAAAUGACAGAAAGAAAUUCGAUCGAAUACGCAAAGUCAAGGAUCAUAAAAACGGACCAAAAGAACUUAGACCUAAUACGCAAAGUCGGGGAUCGUAAAACCGACCGAAAGAAAUUAGAGCUAAUACGAAAAGUCGGGGAUCAUAAGAACGGACCGAAAGAACUUAUAGCUAAUACGAAAAGUCGAGGAUCAUAAAAA
This 379-nucleotide long non-coding RNA is filed under the name Capsella grandiflora. Its description in RNAcentral is "long non-coding RNA (CGRA_LNC001435)". Lineage: Eukaryota; Viridiplantae; Streptophyta; Magnoliopsida; Brassicales; Brassicaceae. The record is from RNAcentral.